GCCUAGAUAGCUGAGUUGGUCAGGGCACAGUGCUGACAAUGUCAAGGUUGCAGGUUUGAUCCCUGUUUGGGACA
This 74-nucleotide transfer RNA is filed under the name Podarcis lilfordi (Lilford's wall lizard). RNAcentral describes it as "tRNA.Val". Lineage: Eukaryota; Metazoa; Chordata; Lepidosauria; Squamata; Lacertidae. The record is from RNAcentral.